UAGGGAAUCUUCCGCAAUGGACGCAAGUCUGACGGAGCAACGCCGCGUGAGUGAAGAAGGAUUUCGGUUCGUAAAACUCUGUUGUUAGAGAAGAACAGCGCAUAGAGUAACUGUUAUGCGUGUGACGGUAUCUAACCAGAAAGCCACGGCUAACUACGUGCCAGCAGCCGCGGUAAUACGUAGGUGGCAAGCGUUGUCCGGAUUUAUUGGGCGUAAAGCGAGCGCAGGCGGUCAAUUAAGUCUGAUGUGAAAGCCCCCGGCUCAACCGGUGAGGGUCAUUGGAAACUAGUUGACUUGAGUGCAGAAGAAGAGAGUGGAAUUUCAUGUGUAGCGGUGAAAUGCGUAGAUAUAUGGAGGAACACCAGUGGCGAAGGCGACUCACUAGUAUAUAACUAACGCUAAGGCUCGAAAGCGUAGGUAGCAAACAGG
Molecule: ribosomal RNA, 429 nt
Filed under: Bacteroidota bacterium
Lineage: Bacteria; Pseudomonadati; Bacteroidota
Description: Bacteroidetes bacterium partial 16S ribosomal RNA
Rfam family: Bacterial small subunit ribosomal RNA
Source: RNAcentral